UGGGGAAUAUUGCACAAUGGGGAAGACCCUGAUGCAGCGACGCCGCGUGAAGGAAGAAGUAUCUCGGUAUGUAAACUUCUAUCAGCAGGGAAGAAAAUGACGGUACCUGACUAAGAAGCCCCGGCUAACUACGUGCCAGCAGCCGCGGUAAUACGUAGGGGCGAAGCGUUAUCCGGAUUUACUGGGUGUAAAGGGAGCGUAGACGGAGCAGCAAGUCUGAUGUGAAAGGCGGGGCUCAACCCCGGCGAUCGCUAUUGGAAACUGUUGAUCUUGAGUACCGGAGAGGUAAGCGGAAUUCCUAGUGUAGCGGUGAAAUGCGUAGAUAUUAGGAGGAACACCAGUGGCGAAGGCGGCUUACUGGACGGUAACUGACGUUGAGGCUCGAAAGCGUGGGGAGCAAACAGGAUUAGAUACC
This 415-nucleotide ribosomal RNA is filed under the name uncultured bacterium. RNAcentral describes it as "bacterial SSU rRNA". It matches the Rfam family "Bacterial small subunit ribosomal RNA", at positions 355 to 786 of the family's 1533-position model. The record is from RNAcentral.